AUUUAUAUAAUAUAUUUAGUAUAUUUGACUUCCAAUCAAAACGUUUAAUUUUUAUUAAUAUAAAUA
This 66-nucleotide transfer RNA is filed under the name Archips podanus. Its description in RNAcentral is "tRNA-Gly". The record is from RNAcentral. Lineage: Eukaryota; Metazoa; Arthropoda; Insecta; Lepidoptera; Tortricidae.